Long non-coding RNA from Corvus hawaiiensis (hawaiian crow), 1204 nucleotides. RefSeq lists it as uncharacterized. The record is from RefSeq and is a predicted model, not a curated record. The transcript has 2 exons. Lineage: Eukaryota; Metazoa; Chordata; Aves; Passeriformes; Corvidae.
UCUGCCUCUGCAGCUGCUCCAGCAAAGGAUCCUAACAAAUGGAGCACAGGAAGGAAAGGGCAGACCACAAGGCAAGGCAACAGCAGUGUGGUGGGGAGACAGGCUUUAGGUCUUUGGCCAAUAAAAACAUUAGUAGUAGUAGACUGGAGAUGGUCUGCAAGCAAGCAGGCAGGCCUGGAAUGUGACUGAAAGUCAACUAGGAAGUGGGACCAGGAAUGAGAGAGAGCAGAAGGCAGGGAACAGUCUUGGGAGGCAGUGACAGGACAGAUGGGUCGCCUGCUUCUUGUCCUAACCUCCAUCCCUCAGGUACAGCAGACUUUUUGUUUUCUUCAUCUUCUCUGGCCACAUUUCAUCUUGUCUAUGUGCCGACUGUGUCCCUGUGGCUGAGCAGCAGCCUCCUCAGACCAUCCUGCUGUCCAGCAUCCUGACCAUCCGGCCAAAACAUCCAUAUUCUGGACAAGAUUUCCUGGAGCGCUGGGAGUGUGCUGCAGCACAAGCAGGACUCCAAUGGCAGCACCCAGGCCUGGACAGGAUGGGGGCCCCCACUGUUCUCCUGCCUGCAAAUGCCAUGUUUCUCUUACAUUUCACGAUUCUAAAAAGAUACUACUUUCAUCCUGUCCUGAAAAUACGAGGUGCCUCACUUUCUUUCUCUGAGCACACAGAAAAGUCAUCAUUAUUUUUGUGUGCAUAAUGCUUUAGUGCUUGCAAACCUAGUUGUGAGUAAACACCUUUCACGUGAGCAGAGGCUGCAGGGACUGGUCUUUGCAUGAUCAGGGAUGUUUCAUAUUGAUGAAAAGACACUUGGCAUUUUAUUUUUACUUUCCAGCAAUGGCUUUUUAUUAGUGAUUCAUGGUAUCGUCUUGAGUUAAAUAGAGACAAACAGUGAAAGAGAGUUUUCUCUCAGGUUGUCAUGACUGUUUAUUUGUUAUGUUUUUUCUUUCUAAAAUACAGAAAACUGUGGCUAGAACUUCCAGCCCAAAGGCAUGUUCCUACUUCUAGCUGUGAUCCAGCCCUUCUAUGCUCAUGUCAUCAGACUCCUUGGGAAUGUGGAAACAGAGAUUUUUUUUAUUUAAGGAAAGAGGACAAUGAUCAGGAGAAGCUUGGCCAUACUCUCUAUGUUUUUAUACAAGAAAAAGAACAGGACAAAAAUUGCAAAAACAGCUUUGCCCAUUGUCUGGAAACAAAUAAAGAAUGCCUAGCUUUA